UUCUGGGUAACUUUGUCAGUAAAGUAUCUGCCUGCAAUGUGGGAAACCUAGGUUCGAUUCCUAGGUCAGGAA
RNAcentral lists this transfer RNA (72 nucleotides) under Bos taurus (domestic cattle). It matches the Rfam family "tRNA". From Rfam's summary of the family: Transfer RNA (tRNA) molecules are approximately 80 nucleotides in length. Their secondary structure includes four short double-helical elements and three loops (D, anti-codon, and T loops). The record is from Rfam by way of RNAcentral. Lineage: Eukaryota; Metazoa; Chordata; Mammalia; Artiodactyla; Bovidae. RNAcentral also lists the same sequence under 1 other name.